UGUAAGCGUAUACCAAAGUUGUUGCAGUUAAAACGCUCGUAGUCGGAAUUUGGCAGUUCCGGAUGUGUGCACGUCGUGUGCGCACUUCGCGGGGAUUGCUUUUGUGGUCUUGCGUAGGAUGAGGCACUUUUAUUAGUGAACGUCCUCACGCAACCACUUUCUACUGUGAGAAAAUCAGAGUGCUCAAAGCAGGCAUUUGCCGUGAAUGUAUUAGCAUGGAAUAAUAGAAUAGGACUUGGUUCUAUUUUGUUGGUUUGUUGGGACUGAGUAAUGAUUAAGAGGGACAGUUGGGGGCAUUUGUAUUUCGGUGCUAGAGGUGAAAUUCUUAGAUUACCGAAAGACAAACUGCUGCGAAAGCGUCUGCCAAGGAUGUUUUCAUUGA
RNAcentral lists this ribosomal RNA (382 nucleotides) under uncultured eukaryote. RNAcentral's name for it is "partial 18S ribosomal RNA". It matches the Rfam family "Eukaryotic small subunit ribosomal RNA", at positions 592 to 976 of the family's 1831-position model. The record is from RNAcentral.